RNA transcript from Carassius gibelio (silver crucian carp), 1183 nucleotides. RefSeq lists it as uncharacterized. Lineage: Eukaryota; Metazoa; Chordata; Actinopteri; Cypriniformes; Cyprinidae. The record is from RefSeq and is a predicted model, not a curated record. The transcript is spliced from 6 exons.
UGUAAACAAAACCUCAGCAGCAGCACGUGAGAGAGGGAUUUUCAUGGAAAAUAGACGCCGUUUUUCAUUAAACAGUGUAAUGACGACCCGCUGUAUUUUAUUUACCCGGCAGGUUUUGCCCCUUGGACAUCAUUUACGGCGUGUCUUACCCGUGAAGGUGUUUAUUUCUAUGUAAUGCUCGCGCUGUCAGAGUUUAGCGCGGUCUGUGAAUGCUCUGAAUUUAAAGCGCGCAGAAUCCUUCAUCUGCUCUGCACAUGUUUUAGACGUUCAGAAAUGCUUUUGCUGAGGUUUUGUUUGUUUGCUUGUUUAUAUCAGACCUUCUGCUCGUCCACACGCGAUGAGGUUCGCUUGGCAAAGGAGGCCAGCAAGAAAUACGGGAAACCUGAACCCACUAUAUUUUCUAAAAUAGUUGACAAAACUAUCCCUGCAGAUAUAAUUCACGAGGAUGACAAGUGUCUAGCUUUCAGAGAUGUAAAUCCCCAGGCUCCUGUGCACUUCCUGGUUAUUCCAAGGAUUCCCAUUCCCAAGAUCAGUGAAGCACACGAUGAUGAUGCAUCGCUUCUGGGUCAUCUUUUGAUAGUGGCCAAAAACAUAGCAAAGAAAGAAGGACUGGACGAAGGAUACAGAGUUGAAAUCGAGACUCAAAAGACCAGGCAGCAUUUUUCCAGUCUUCAACUGUCCAAUUUUGGUUGGAGUUCAGGAGAUUGUCUUGACCAGGACCACACCCCUAAAUGCAUUGAAGCAACUGCCAUGUGAUUGGUUGAUUAGAUAAUUGCAUUAAUGAGAAAUUUAACAGGUGUUCCUAAUAAUCCUUUAGUCAUCAAUGAUGGUAAAAAUGGGGCGCAGUCUGUGUAUCACCUUCACAUUCAUGUUCUCGGGGGACGGCAAAUGAAGUGGCCUCCAGGAUAGAUGGACCUACUGUCAGAAUAAAAGUAAUGCUCUGCAUUUUUGGAAGAUAUGAGAAUAAUGGAUAAACAGUACAAAAUGGAAAUUUGUUGGAUAUUAUCAAAAAAUGUUUGUCAAAUAAAGUGUAAUACUGUUUUUUUUAUUCAUUACAAGAGUUUGGCUUUCAUUCUGCAAUUAAUGUUAACAAGCUGUUGGGUAAACUGCACUUAACUGGGUUGGGUUACCUUUACUGUUGUUUACUGUCAUCAUUGGUUAAUAAAAAUAUUCUGGCGAGCUU